AUGGUCAGAAAUUUGCGAACUCAGGUUCUCUGGAAAGAGAGAAUUUCAUACUCCAUUUUUCUCCUUGAGGAGUCAUCUCCUAAAAUGAAGCAUAUCCUGAUAAUCCCGUUGCUUCCCUCGUCUUCUUCUAUUCGCGACAAGAUUGCAGAUGUAGAGUUUUCUAGAAUUGCUUGUACAAUCCGUACUUUUUCUGGAAUUGCUUGUUCAGUCUGUAAUCUUCAACAACUCGAUCUUGUUUAA
Molecule: non-coding RNA, 240 nt
Organism: Vicia faba (fava bean)
Lineage: Eukaryota; Viridiplantae; Streptophyta; Magnoliopsida; Fabales; Fabaceae
Source: the annotation of a GenBank genome assembly